RNAcentral lists this ribosomal RNA (253 nucleotides) under uncultured bacterium. RNAcentral's name for it is "partial 16S ribosomal RNA". It matches the Rfam family "Bacterial small subunit ribosomal RNA", at positions 524 to 776 of the family's 1533-position model. The record is from RNAcentral.
UACGUAGGGGGCAAGCGUUGUCCGGAAUCAUUGGGCGUAAAGAGCGUGUAGGCGGCUCGGUAAGUCCGCUGUAAAAGUCAAAGGCUCAACCUUUGAAUGUCAGUGGAUACUGCCGGGCUAGAGUCCGGAAGAGGCGAGUGGAACUCCUGGUGUAGCGGUGGAAUGCGCAGAUAUCAGGAAGAACACCAACGGCGAAGGCAGCUCGCUGGCCCGAUACUGACGCUGAGGCACGAAAGCGUGGGGAGCAAACAGG